CCUACGGGAGGCAGCAGUGGGGAAUAUUGGACAAUGGGGGGAACCCUGAUCCAGCCAUGCCGCGUGUGUGAAGAAGGCCCUCGGGUUGUAAAGCACUUUCAGUGAGGAAGAACGCCUGGUGGUUAAUACCCAUCAGGAAAGACAUCACUCACAGAAGAAGCACCGGCUAACUCCGUGCCAGCAGCCGCGGUAAUACGGAGGGUGCGAGCGUUAAUCGGAAUUACUGGGCGUAAAGCGCGCGUAGGUGGCUUGAUAAGCCGGUUGUGAAAGCCCCGGGCUCAACCUGGGAACGGCAUCCGGAACUGUCAAGCUAGAGUGCAGGAGAGGAAGGUAGAAUUCCCGGUGUAGCGGUGAAAUGCGUAGAGAUCGGGAGGAAUACCAGUGGCGAAGGCGGCCUUCUGGACUGACACUGACACUGAGGUGCGAAAGCGUGGGUAGCAAACAGGAUCAGAUACCCCUGUAGUC
This 465-nucleotide ribosomal RNA is filed under the name Vreelandella stevensii. Its description in RNAcentral is "partial 16S ribosomal RNA". It matches the Rfam family "Bacterial small subunit ribosomal RNA", at positions 338 to 795 of the family's 1533-position model. The record is from RNAcentral. Lineage: Bacteria; Pseudomonadati; Pseudomonadota; Gammaproteobacteria; Oceanospirillales; Halomonadaceae.